Molecule: long non-coding RNA, 234 nt
Filed under: Lathyrus oleraceus (garden pea)
Lineage: Eukaryota; Viridiplantae; Streptophyta; Magnoliopsida; Fabales; Fabaceae
Description: Pisum sativum (pea) long non-coding RNA (PSAT_LNC027338)
Source: RNAcentral
AACAUACCUUGUCGGGAGGAUUUCCCGGUUUUGUAACCGUUCAAUAAUUUUUCUUUGUCGAUCCCUCGGUUUCCCUCCUCGAAGAAUGAAUCCGUUAAACUCCAUUUGAAAGCUCUUGAGAAGUGAUGAAGAAGAUGAAGUGGUUUUUGAAAAGGUUGGAUUUUUACAAAAUCCGACGGAUGAAAUCGAAAAUGGAAAUUGGAAUAAUGAUUUGUGUGGUGUGGUGGUUAGAAA